Long non-coding RNA from Chinchilla lanigera (long-tailed chinchilla), 594 nucleotides. RefSeq lists it as uncharacterized. NCBI's taxonomy places the organism in Eukaryota, Metazoa, Chordata, Mammalia, Rodentia, Chinchillidae. The transcript is spliced from 2 exons. The record is from RefSeq and is a predicted model, not a curated record.
UCCAUACAAGAUCUUUCCCUAGACACUGAUGGAAGGGUUAUUGCACGCUCUCAAAAUGCGAAGGACUGGGAAUACUCACGAACAAGAGGAAGAGAAACUACUACUACUUUGUAGAACAGAAGCAAACAGCCUGGAUAACCCAAUUUAACUCACCAAUGAAAACCAGCCUCACAGACUGCUACCACAAGACUAGGGAAGGAACCUAUCAGACCUACCGUUCUACGUAACUCCAAAGCCUAACAAAGGGGAGGUGAGACAUAAGCCUUUCUUGGAGCUUUUCUGAUGUGGCUGGAGACUUUCACCGACAAAAUGAAUAUCCUCUUUGCUUAAAAGAAGAAAGGAAAACAAAAACAAAAACCUGCUCCCCUAUAUGCUACGGUCAAAUCAAAGUACUCAGCUCUCUGAGGUCCAGGAUCACUCCAGUGGCGCAGCUUUCAGAAGCUUGCGGUGGAGGAAAAAGUUCUGCUAGGAAGUCCCAGCCCGUUACACCUUUCUCAAUUUCCCCUGCCUCUUCUCUCCGACGCCAACCAGACCAGGGGGGCAGGCCCGCGGGGGGCUCCUUUGGGAAUAAUAAAGCCCAGGACCUCCACAAGA